GAAGAACCUUACCUGGCCUUGACAUGUAACGAACUUUCCAGAGAUGGAUUGGUGCUCGAAAGAGAGCGUUAACACAGGUGCUGCAUGGCUGUCGUCAGCUCGUGUCGUGAGAUGUUGGGUUAAGUCCCGCAACGAGCGCAACCCUUGCCAUUAAUUGCCAUCAUUUAGUUGGGCACUUUAAUGGGACUGCCGGUGACAAACCGGAGGAAGGUGGGGAUGACGUCAAGUCCUCAUGGCCCUUAUGGCCAGGGCUUCACACGUAAUACAAUGGUCGGUACAGAGGGUUGCCAAGCCGCGAGGUGGAGCCAAUCCCAGAAAGCCGAUCGUAGUCCGGAUUGUAGUCUGCAACUCGACUACAUGAAGUCGGAAUCGCUAGUA
RNAcentral lists this ribosomal RNA (378 nucleotides) under uncultured bacterium. RNAcentral's name for it is "bacterial SSU rRNA". It matches the Rfam family "Bacterial small subunit ribosomal RNA", at positions 963 to 1340 of the family's 1533-position model. The record is from RNAcentral.